This is a small nuclear RNA of Ursus americanus (American black bear), 207 nucleotides long. Its record names the gene U2. It matches the Rfam family "U2 spliceosomal RNA". From Rfam's summary of the family: U2 is a small nuclear RNA (snRNA) component of the spliceosome (involved in pre-mRNA splicing). Complementary binding between U2 snRNA (in an area lying towards the 5' end but 3' to hairpin I) and the branchpoint sequence (BPS) of the intron results the bulging out of an unpaired adenosine, on the BPS, which initiates a nucleophilic attack at the intronic 5' splice site, thus starting the first of two transesterification reactions that mediate splicing. NCBI's taxonomy places the organism in Eukaryota, Metazoa, Chordata, Mammalia, Carnivora, Ursidae. The record is from Ensembl.
AUCCCUUCUCGGCCUUUUGGCUAAGAUCAAGUGUAGGAUCUGUUCUUAUCAGUUUAACUAAAGUACUUCUUACCUGUUAUGACCACUGAAAUUUUAAAAAAUGACUUGAAUUUUUUAGAAAAGUUUUAGAUUUAUCGAAAACCUGCAAAGAUAGCACAGAGAGUUUCCACAUGGGCCUCAGCCAGAUUCCCCCGCUGUCAAAAGCUU